AUCUUUACAUGGAGGGGGUGAUGCCAUGGGCAUGGAGGUGGUUCAUCCAGGGAGAGGCACUGUCAUUGUGCUCUGGCUUUCUGACCUCCAAAUUCAUCAAAUGUGGGAAUCUGGAAUGCAAAAUUUAUGGUAGUGGGGGACUGCGCUCACACCAUCCCCUG
Epinephelus moara (kelp grouper) is the source of this 161-nucleotide small nuclear RNA. RefSeq annotates it as U1 spliceosomal RNA. The transcript has a single exon. The record is from RefSeq and is a predicted model, not a curated record. Lineage: Eukaryota; Metazoa; Chordata; Actinopteri; Perciformes; Serranidae.